UCAGGACGAACGCCGGCGGCGUGCUUAACACAUGCAAGUCAAGGACCGUAGCAAUACGGGACUGGCGCACGGGUGCGGAACACGUAGGCAAUCUACCCUCAGGGGGAAAACAACCCGUUGAAAGACGGGCUAAAUUUCCGUAACAUCACAUGGUGGCAUCACCGAGUGAUCAAACUUUCCAGAGGAUGAGCCUGCGUCUGAUUAGUUAGUUGGCGGGGUAACGGCCCACCAAGACUACGAUCAGUAGCUGGUCUGAGAGGAUGAUCAGCCACAUUGGGACUGAGAUACGGCCCAGACUCCUACGGGAGGCAGCAGUGAGGAAUAUUGCUCAAUGGGGGAAACCCUGAAGCAGCAACGCCGCGUGAGGGAUGAAGGGGCUUUGCCUCGUAAACCUCUGUAGUCGGGGACAAAUGUAGGGUUACUACCCUAUUGAUGGUACCCGAAAAGUAAGGAUCGGCUAACUACGUGCCAGCAGCCGCGGUAAUACGUAGGAUCCGAGCGUUGUCCGGAUUUACUGGGUGUAAAGGGUGCGCAGGCGGAGUGGUAAGUCAGAGGUGAAAUCUCGUCGCUCAACGACGAAACUGCCUUUGAUACUAUCAUUCUUGAGUUCGGUAGAGAUCUGUGGAAUUCCGAGUGUAGCAGUGAAAUGUGUAGAUAUUCGGAAGAACACCAGUGGCGAAGGCAGCAGAUUGGGCCGAUACUGACGCUCAGGCACGAAAGCAUGGGGAUCAAACAGGAUUAGAUACCCUGGUAGUCCAUGCCCUAAACGAUGUACACUUGAUAUCUGCCCUCAGGGUAGGUGUCGGAGCUAACGCGUUAAGUGUACCACCUGGGGAGUACGCUCGCAAGGGUGAAACUCAAAU
RNAcentral lists this ribosomal RNA (863 nucleotides) under uncultured bacterium. Its description in RNAcentral is "bacterial SSU rRNA". It matches the Rfam family "Bacterial small subunit ribosomal RNA", at positions 24 to 906 of the family's 1533-position model. The record is from RNAcentral.